Molecule: non-coding RNA, 546 nt
Organism: Misgurnus anguillicaudatus (oriental weatherfish)
Lineage: Eukaryota; Metazoa; Chordata; Actinopteri; Cypriniformes; Cobitidae
Source: RefSeq, a predicted model, not a curated record
AUGCUUGUCUAGUUUGUUUAUGCUCGGGCAGGGUAAAUCGCUUUCUUGACUCCAGCAGAACGGUGCACACAGACAGGAGUGCUGUGAUUUUCUGAGCACACACUGAACCGUGUUUUUGGAUGAUGCAGUUCAAGCAGAAGAUCAUCUCUUUCACUGUAAAUGAAAAGUUCAAUAUCCAGUCUGAAGGUCUGACCGGGGAUCAUAUCACCUCCUUACAGCUACUGGUUCAUCAUGUUAUUAUGUGAAAACCAACAUGGCUUUUGGAUUAAAAUGAAGUCAAACUUGUUUGUAUGAACUGAAGCAUCCCAUAAACUGUGUAUAUAAAUAUUUGUACUUUUGUUAUACAUUGGUAAUGUGAUGUUAAUGUAUGUUAAUUUUUAAUUAACACUGAUACAUUGAGGACAAAUCUUCUGUCAUAAAUGUUGAUCAGAUGACAUUUUAAGAAAAUCCAUAUCAGUUUUAUGAUGAGAAUGAUUCUGCUGUAUUGUUACAUUUUAAAAAACUUUUUGAAAAUAAAGAUUUUUGUCCCAAAAGUACCGUAAUAUG